Molecule: ribosomal RNA, 1371 nt
Filed under: Candidatus Nealsonbacteria bacterium RIFOXYD1_FULL_39_11
Lineage: Bacteria; Candidatus Nealsoniibacteriota
Description: bacterial SSU rRNA
Rfam family: Bacterial small subunit ribosomal RNA
Source: RNAcentral
UUAUUGAGAGUUUGAUCCUGGCUCAGGAUGAACGCUAGCGGCGUGGAUAAGGCAUGCAAGUCGAGGGAGGUGUAAAACCGACCGGCGAACGGGUUAGUAACACGUAGGUACGUACCCUGAAGUCUCGGAUAGCCCGGAGAAAUCCGGGGUAAUACGAGAUGGCCCUGCAAAGGUAAAGAUUUAUCGCUUCAGGAUCGGCCUGCGUCCUAUCAGCUAGUUGGCGAGGUAACGGCUCACCAAGGCUAUGACGGGUAGGGGGCAUGAGAGUGUGUUCCCCAACAAGGGCACUGCGACACGGGCCCUACUCCUACGGGAGGCAGCAGUCGAGAAUCUUCCACAAUGGGCGAAAGCCUGAUGGAGCGACGCCGCGUGCUUGAAGAAGCCCUUCGGGGUGUAAAGAGCUUUUCUGGGGGAACAACCUUUUGGUGAGUGUACCCCAGGAAUAAGGGGAGGCUAAUCACGUGCCAGCAGCUGCGGUAAUACGUGAUCCUCGAGCGUUAUCCGGAUUUACUGGGCGUAAAGAGUUCGUAGGUGCAUUGUUAGGUUUUCUGUCAAAGGUUGAGGCUUAACCUCAAAAACGCAGAAAAAACCGGCAAAGUAGAGGGCGUUAGAGGCUGAUAGAACGGUCAGUGUAGGGGUGAAAUCCGUUGAUAUUGACCGGAAUACCAAAAGCGAAGGCAUUCAGCUGGGGCGACCCUGACACUGAGGAACGAAAGCGUGGGUAGCGAACGAGAUUAGAUACCUCGGUAGUCCACGCUGUAAACGAUGGAUACUGGCUAUUUGAAGUGUCGACCCUUCAAGUGGCGAAGCUAACGCGUUAAGUAUCCCGCCUGGGAAGUACGGCCGCAAGGCUAAAACUCAAAGGAAUAGACGGGGCUUUACACAAGCGGUGGAUCAUGUGGCUUAAUUCGAUAACAAGCGAAGAACCUUACCAGGGCUUGACACCUAGACGAAAGCCUGCAGAAACGCAGGCCCUCCACAAGACGGCUAGGCAGGUGCUGCAUGGUUGUCGUCAGCUCGUACUAUGAAGCGUACGCUUAAGUGCGGUAACGAGCGCAACCCUCGCCCUAUGUUUUAUAUGUCAUAGGGAACUGCCCGGGAUAACUGGGAGGAAGGCGAGGAUGACGCCAAAUCAGCAUGGCCCUUUGACGCCCUGGGCUGCACACGUGAUACAAUGGGACUGACAAUGGGCAAAGCCGCAAGGCGGAGAAAAAUCCCACCAAACGGUCCCCCAAUUCGGAUUGAGGUCUGAAACCCGACCUCAUGAAGCCGGAAUCGCUAGUAAUCGCCAAUCAGCCAUGUGGCGAUGAAUAUGUUCCUAAAGCUUGUACUCACCGCCUGUCACACCAGGAAAGCUGGCAGCGCCCGAAA